UACGGAGUGUGCAAGCGUUACUCGGAAUCACUGGGCUUAAAGGGUGCGUAGGCGGUGCGGAUAGUCGGGUGUGAAAUCCCUCAGCUUAACUGGGGAACUGCAUUCGAUACUUCCGUGCUAGAGUAAGACAGAGGUAAGUGGAACUGAGGGUGGAGCGGUGAAAUGCGUUGAUAUCCUCAGGAACACCGGCGGCGAAGGCGACUUACUGGGUCUUUACUGACGCUGAUGCACGAAAGCCAGGGUAGCAAACGGG
This 253-nucleotide ribosomal RNA is filed under the name uncultured bacterium. RNAcentral describes it as "partial 16S ribosomal RNA". It matches the Rfam family "Bacterial small subunit ribosomal RNA", at positions 524 to 776 of the family's 1533-position model. The record is from RNAcentral.